UCCAAUGGGCGCUCAAAUAUUUUUGUAUUGAAUUUUUUUUAACUCGUUCUUGUACAUUUUAAAUAAUUUUUUGAGUAUGAAAUUGUAACACCCUAUACUUGGCCUAAACAUUGAGUCAGAAUAACAUGACGCUACAUCAAACAUCGAACUAAUAUACAUUCACACAACCUCAAAUACAUGCAACCAUCGUCACUUUCAAUUUUUAGGGGAGUAUUGAGUCUUUAAAACCUUGGCAACAUUUAAAACGACUUAUCAAAUGUUUAUUGACAUUAAUAACAAGUUAAUCAUGCAUGGGACCAUCUAACAAAAAUUACCAAAGAAAUCAUGUAGGUAUUGAUACCUAAGAUUGAGUAUCGAUAUUUAUGAAGAUAGGUAUCAAUACCAUUAGAAAAAUUGUAUUUUUUUUUAGCAUUUUGUUUCUUCACAAAAUAUUGGAA
RNAcentral lists this long non-coding RNA (437 nucleotides) under Gossypium barbadense (sea-island cotton). RNAcentral describes it as "long non-coding RNA (GBAR_LNC007950)". Lineage: Eukaryota; Viridiplantae; Streptophyta; Magnoliopsida; Malvales; Malvaceae. The record is from RNAcentral.